UUCCUUUGAGAGAUGGCGAUGCUUGUUUUUGAUUGGGCUACUUCAAUCCCAAGGAAGUACCGCAAUCGACCCAAGUCUUUAGUUUGGAAGUAUUGAAACAAGUGCUGCUUUAGGCCUUUGAUAUCGUCAUGAUCAUCACUUGUAAUGACAAUAUCAUCCACGUAGACCAUAAGGCAGAUGCAUAGAUUAGAGGAUGAAUGUUUAUAAAAUACAGAGUAAUCUGCCUCACUACGGAUCAUGCGAAAUUGUUGUAUGACUUUACUAGAUCUUCCAAAACAUGUCCGGGGAGACUGCUUAAGGCCAUAUAGCGAUUUGUGUCUCUCCCUGAGCAACAAAUCCAGAUGGUUGCUCCAUAUAAACUUUCUCCUUCAAGGCACUAUGUAGAAAGGUAUUUUUAAUGUCUAGCUGAUAUAUAGAUCAAUGGUUCAUGGCAGCUAUUAAUAAGAAGAGCCGGAUAGACGCCAUCUUAGCAACAGGAGAGAUUGUGUCUCCACAAUCAAGACCAAAGAUCUGAGUAUAACCUUUAGCUACAAGACGUGCUUUCAAACGAUCCACCUAUCCAUCAGGGCCCACUUUAAUAGUAAAAAUUCAUCGACAAUCAACUGUAGAUUUUUCAGGAAGGAAAGGAACAAGAGUCCAUGUAUUAUUGGAUUUCAAGGUUGCCAUCUCAUCAAUCAUUGCCUGACGCUAUCCUGGAUGGGAAAGUGUUUCCUGGAUAGUUUUAGGAAUAGAAACGGAAGACAAGACAGAAACAAAGGCAUAAUGAGAUGAAGAUAAACGAUGAUAGCUCAAGAAAUUAUAAAUAGGAUGAGGAUUACGAGUAGAGCGUAUACCUUUAUGUAGAGCUACAGGCCAGUCAGUGGAAUGCUCAGGUAAGCCCAGGACAGGUGGAGAUGUUGGAGCAGAAAAUGAAUCAUCUGAAUCUUGAGUGGGAACAGUCUCCGAAAUCUCAGGUUGUGGUCGACGUUGAUAAGUGAUAAGUGGGCGUGGUGAGGAAUGUAUCGGUUUAGCAGGCGGAGUAGGAGGUUCGGGAGAAACAGAGACAGGCAGAUCAAGGUAGGGAAUCGGUAAGAGUUAAGAGAUGGAUUCAGGCUCCACUGAUGAGCUAAAAUAAGGUGUGUCCUCAAAAAAGGUGACAUAUGUAGACAUGUAAAAUCGAUGUGUAAGAGUUAAGAGAUGGAUUCAGGCUCCACUGAUGAGCUAAAAUAAGGUGUGUCCUCAAAAAAGGUGACAUAUGUAGACAUAUAAAAUCGAUGUGUAGGAGGAGAAUAACAUCGAUAUCCCUUCUGAAUUUGAGAGUAACCAAGAAAAAUACAUUUAAUAGCACGGACAGACAGUUUAUCAAGAUUUGGAGAAAGAUCAUGCACAAAACAGGUAGAUCCAAAAAUACGAGGGGGAA
RNAcentral lists this long non-coding RNA (1399 nucleotides) under Elaeis guineensis (African oil palm). RNAcentral describes it as "long non-coding RNA (EGUI_LNC022604)". Lineage: Eukaryota; Viridiplantae; Streptophyta; Magnoliopsida; Arecales; Arecaceae. The record is from RNAcentral.